Molecule: ribosomal RNA, 482 nt
Filed under: uncultured bacterium
Lineage: Bacteria
Description: partial 16S ribosomal RNA
Rfam family: Bacterial small subunit ribosomal RNA
Source: RNAcentral
AUUGAACGCUGGCGGCAUGCUUUACACAUGCAAGUCGAACGGUAACAGGCCGCCAGGUGCUGACGAGUGGCGGACGGGUGAGUAAUGCAUCGGAACGUGCCCAGUCGUGGGGGAUAACUACUCGAAAGAAUAGCUAAUACCGCAUACGAUCUGUGGAUGAAAGCGGGGGGCCGUAAGGCCUCGCGCGCUUGGCAAGACUGAUUUCCGAUUAGGUAGUUGGUGGGGUAAAGGCUCACCAAGCCAACAAUCUGUAGCUGGUCUGAGAGGACAAGCAGCCACACGAGAACUUAGACACGCCCCAGACUCCUACGGGAGGGAGCAGUGGCGAAUGUGGGACAACGGGCGCAAGCCUGAUCCAGCAAUGCCGCGCGCAGUAAGAAGGCCCUCGGUGUGUAAUCUCCUUUUGUACGGAACGAAACGGCUCUGGUUAAUACCCGGCGCUAAUGACGGUACCGUAAUAAUAAGCACCGGCUAACUACGUG